This 292-nucleotide ribosomal RNA is filed under the name uncultured bacterium. Its description in RNAcentral is "partial 16S ribosomal RNA". RNAcentral also lists the same sequence under 1 other name. The record is from RNAcentral.
GGACUACAGGGGUAUCUAAUCCUGUUUGCUCCCCACGCUUUCGUGCUUGAGCGUCAGUGUUAUCCCAGGGGGCUGCCUUCGCCAUCGGUGUUCCUCCACAUCUCUACGCAUUUCACUGCUACACGUGGAAUUCCACCCCCCUCUGACACACUCCAGCGCUGCAGUCUCAAAUGCCAUUCCCAGGUUGAGCCCGGGGAUUUCACACCUGACUUACAGCACCGCCUGCGCACGCUUUACGCCCAGUAAUUCCGAUUAACGCUUGCACCCUACGUAUUACCGCGGCUGCUGGCAC